AUAAUGGAGAGUUUGAUCCUGGCUCAGGACGAACGCUGGCGGCGUGCCUAAUACAUGCAAGUCGAGCGGAACCGGAAGAGCUUGCUCUUCUGGUUUAGCGGCGGACGGGUGAGUAACACGUGGGCAACCUGCCCUGCAGAUCGGGAUAACUCCGGGAAACCGGUGCUAAUACCGAAUGGUUUCUGGUCCCGCCUGGGACCGGACGGAAAGACGGUUU
Molecule: ribosomal RNA, 217 nt
Filed under: Planomicrobium sp. CPCC 101079
Lineage: Bacteria; Bacillati; Bacillota; Bacilli; Caryophanales; Caryophanaceae
Description: partial 16S ribosomal RNA
Rfam family: Bacterial small subunit ribosomal RNA
Source: RNAcentral